GGCGGUGUGGCGGAAUGGUUACGCGUUAGGGUCCCAAUCCUUCGUAGGAGGGGAGGGUAAAAGUCCUAAGUCAAUGGGGGUUCGAAUCCCUCCUAAGUUG
This 100-nucleotide transfer RNA is filed under the name Paramuricea clavata. RNAcentral describes it as "tRNA-Gly". Lineage: Eukaryota; Metazoa; Cnidaria; Anthozoa; Malacalcyonacea; Plexauridae. The record is from RNAcentral.